AUAUAAGGAACCUCCUGGUUCUUUAUUGAAAGAUGGUUUCGGCUAUCACUCACAGAUGGGCCCGCGGCGCAUUAGCUAGUUGGUGAGGUAACGGCUCACCAAGGCGACGAUGCGUAGCCGACCUGAGAGGGUGAUCGGCCACACUGGGACUGAGACACGGCCCAGACUCCUACGGGAGGCAGCAGUAGGGAAUCUUCCACAAUGGACGAAAGUCUGAUGGAGCAACGCCGCGUGAGCGAUGAAGGCCUUCGGGUCGUAAAGCUCUGUUGUUAGGGAAGAACAAGUGCGAGAGUAACUGCUCGCACCUUGACGGUACCUAACCAAGCCACGGCUAACUACGUGCC
This 344-nucleotide ribosomal RNA is filed under the name Bacillus sp. EF18(2012). RNAcentral describes it as "bacterial SSU rRNA". It matches the Rfam family "Bacterial small subunit ribosomal RNA", at positions 173 to 509 of the family's 1533-position model. The record is from RNAcentral. Lineage: Bacteria; Bacillati; Bacillota; Bacilli; Caryophanales; Bacillaceae.